This is a small nucleolar RNA of Heterocephalus glaber (naked mole-rat), 73 nucleotides long. Its record names the gene SNORD26. It matches the Rfam family "Small nucleolar RNA SNORD26". From Rfam's summary of the family: U26 is a member of the C/D class of snoRNA which contain the C (UGAUGA) and D (CUGA) box motifs. U26 is encoded within the U22 snoRNA host gene (UHG) in mammals and is thought to act as a 2'-O-ribose methylation guide for ribosomal RNA. Lineage: Eukaryota; Metazoa; Chordata; Mammalia; Rodentia; Bathyergidae. The record is from Ensembl.
CUUCGGGGAUGAUUUAAGAACUGAACUCUCUCUUUCUGAUGGCUCAGUGGAGAAAGCAGAAGUUCUGAGUAGC